Molecule: ribosomal RNA, 300 nt
Filed under: uncultured Desulfovibrio sp.
Lineage: Bacteria; Pseudomonadati; Thermodesulfobacteriota; Desulfovibrionia; Desulfovibrionales; Desulfovibrionaceae
Description: bacterial SSU rRNA
Rfam family: Bacterial small subunit ribosomal RNA
Source: RNAcentral
UUAAGUCCCGCAACGAGCGCAACCCUCGCCUUUAGUUGCCAGCAUUCAGUUGGGCACUCUAGAGGGACUGCCGGUGUCAAACCGGAGGAAGUGGGGAUGACGUCAAGUCCUCAUGGCCUUUAUGUCUAGGGCUACACACGUACUACAAUGGCCGGUACAAAGGGCAGCCACUCAGCGAUGAGGCGCUAAUCCCAUAAAGCCGGUCUCAGUCCGGAUCGCAGUCUGCAACUCGACUGCGUGAAGUUGGAAUCGCUAGUAAUCGUAGAUCAGCAUGCUACGGUGAAUACGUUCCCGGGCCUU